AAGCAAACUGGUUCUAUCGCUGUCCUGUAAUGGGAGAGAGGAAAGUCCGGGCAACAUAGAGCGACACGCUUCCUAACGGGAAGGAUACCUUUGGGUAGACAGAAAGUGCCACAGAGAAUAUACCGCCUUACUUUAAUGUAGGGUAAGGGUGAAAACGUGAGGUAAGAGCUCACGGUCUUGUAUGGUGACAUACAUUACGGUAAACCUCGUGUGUUGAAAAACCAAAUAGGUUGUGAGAAUCAAGGGCUGCUCGUCUUUUUCUUUUCGGGGAACUCACAAUGGGUAGGUUGAUGGAGCUUGUGCGUGAGUGCAAGCCUAGAUAAAUGAUAGAAAUCCUUACUUAAGGAUACAGAACCCGGCUUAUAAGGUUUGCUUCUUU
This 379-nucleotide RNase P RNA is filed under the name Sphingobacterium sp. SGL-16. RNAcentral describes it as "Bacterial RNase P class A". It matches the Rfam family "Bacterial RNase P class A". From Rfam's summary of the family: Ribonuclease P (RNase P) is a ubiquitous endoribonuclease, found in archaea, bacteria and eukarya as well as chloroplasts and mitochondria. The record is from Rfam by way of RNAcentral. Lineage: Bacteria; Pseudomonadati; Bacteroidota; Sphingobacteriia; Sphingobacteriales; Sphingobacteriaceae.